CCUACGGGUGGCAGCAGUGGGGAAUAUUGGACAAUGGGCGAAAGCCUGAUCCAGCCAUGCCGCGUGUGUGAAGAAGGCCUUCGGGUUGUAAAGCACUUUCAGUGGGGAAGAAAGCCUUGGGGCUAAUACCCUCGAGGAAGGACAUCACCCACAGAAGAAGCACCGGCUAACUCCGUGCCAGCAGCCGCGGUAAUACGGAGGGUGCGAGCGUUAAUCGGAAUUACUGGGCGUAAAGCGCGCGUAGGCGGUCUGAUAAGCCGGUUGUGAAAGCCCCGGGCUCAACCUGGGAACGGCAUCCGGAACUGUCAGGCUAGAGUGCAGGUGAGGAAGGUAGAAUUCCCGGUGUAGCGGUGAAAUGCGUAGAGAUCGGGAGGAAUACCAGUGGCGAAGGCGGCCUUCUGGACUGACACUGACGCUGAGGUGCGAAAGCGUGGGUAGCAAACAGGAUUAGAUACCCCAGUAGUC
RNAcentral lists this ribosomal RNA (465 nucleotides) under Vreelandella stevensii. RNAcentral describes it as "partial 16S ribosomal RNA". It matches the Rfam family "Bacterial small subunit ribosomal RNA", at positions 338 to 795 of the family's 1533-position model. Lineage: Bacteria; Pseudomonadati; Pseudomonadota; Gammaproteobacteria; Oceanospirillales; Halomonadaceae. The record is from RNAcentral.